UGAAUAUGGCAGAUGAGGCAAAAUUUGUAGCCCAAUUCAUUCAACUUUUGAAGUGUUGGUUGUGAGACGUGUGGUCAGGCAUUGUGGUGGAGAAGAGUUGGGUCCUUUUUAUUGACCAAUGCCAGCUGCAGGCAUUGCAGUUUCUCGUGCAUCUCAUUGGUUUUUUGAGCAUGCUUCUCAGGUGUACAUAUCAUGAUCCUCUUUCUUGUCCUUUUUUGAUACUAAAACAAAAACAAAUACACUACCAAUGUGAACGGUUGGCUUUUUGAGAAGAUAAACAGUCAACAAAACUUUACCUGGACUAAUUAAGAAAGACUCAAAUAAAUAAACUGGGAAAUGAAGGAGGAGACCUCACAGCCAACACCACAGAAAGACGAAGGGUCAGAUG
Molecule: long non-coding RNA, 388 nt
Filed under: Pan troglodytes (chimpanzee)
Lineage: Eukaryota; Metazoa; Chordata; Mammalia; Primates; Hominidae
Description: long non-coding RNA NONPTRT009906
Source: RNAcentral